CCCAAAAGAUCGCUAGAAGAUCUACACAGUUGAAUGCUAAUCAAAUGACAAUAUAAGCAUAGGAUCUAAAAGAUUAUGAAAGCUUUACAACAAAAACAUAACAAAAACACAGAAUUAAGCCAACACUCCUUCCCCGUUUACAUGAAUGGGGAAGAAAGAAGAAUCUUGAAAUUCCUCAGUAAUCGAGGCCCAAAGAGAAGCUAAAAAUUGCUCUUUCCCACAAAAAUAUGAUAUCUUCCUCUAAAUCAUCAAAAAUGCUUCUAUUUCUUUCAAUCCAAAUCACCCAAAAAGUGGUCAUCUGAACAUUUCCACAAGCACUCUAGCCUUUUCACCUUUCCCAAAAACAUAAAUAAACUCUGAAAGCACAAACAUACCAGAAGCUGGCAUCACCCAAGAGAUUUUAGCUGCCUGAAACUAUCUACUCCACAGCUGGACAGCAUUGUGAUAAUACAGAAACAAAUGAUCCGUACUUUUGCCAUUUCUCUUGCACAUGACACACCAACAAGGAGACAAACACACAUUAGGAUUCCGCCUUUGAAUAAUAUUACCAUUACUAAGCUUUACCAAAAGCGAAUGACCAAGCAAAAAUUUGAACUUUACUUGGGACUUUAGCUUUCCAGAUCAUAUGGGCAGGCUGAAAGUUCAAAAGAACUUGAUCAUCAAUCAACUUAUCGAAAAAUGAUUUCAGCUUCCAAAUUCUUUUAUCCUCUACCAUAACAUUAACUGAAACAUUCUCCAAUAAAGCCAAACGAGUAGCACAAAACUUACUGCUUUAUUUACAGUUAAGUUUCUAAUUUGGCCCUCAAAAUCUUCAAGUUUUUACUUGACAUGGCUAGUUAUUGGCUGAUGUGACAAUGAUAGCAAUCCAUUAAUGAAAUAUGUUCGUCUAGCUUGCCUUCUCAUAUGUUAUUUCUUUUUAAGAUUCGAAGAACGGAUCAAAAUGGAAUUGAAAAC
RNAcentral lists this long non-coding RNA (954 nucleotides) under Citrus sinensis (sweet orange). RNAcentral's name for it is "long non-coding RNA (CSIN_LNC005675)". The record is from RNAcentral. Lineage: Eukaryota; Viridiplantae; Streptophyta; Magnoliopsida; Sapindales; Rutaceae.